CCUACGGGUGGCAGCAGUGAGGAAUAUUGGUCAAUGGGCGCGAGCCUGAACCAGCCAAGUAGCGUGAAGGAUGACUGCCCUACGGGUUGUAAACUUCUUUUAUAAAGGAAUAAAGUGAGUCACGUGUGCCUUUUUGUAUGUACUUUAUGAAUAAGGCUCGGCUAACUCCGUGCCAUCCUCCGCGGUACUACGGAGGCUCCGAGCGUUAUCCGGCUUUAUUGGGUUUAAAGGGCGCGUAGAUGGUUUGUUAAGUCAGUUGUGACAGUUUUCGGUGCAACCGUACAAUUGAAAUUGAUACGGGCAGCAGUGAGUGCAGUUGAGGUAGGUGGAAUCCGUGGUGUAGCGGUG
This 348-nucleotide ribosomal RNA is filed under the name uncultured bacterium. RNAcentral's name for it is "partial 16S ribosomal RNA". It matches the Rfam family "Bacterial small subunit ribosomal RNA", at positions 338 to 683 of the family's 1533-position model. The record is from RNAcentral.